RNAcentral lists this microRNA precursor (134 nucleotides) under Hordeum vulgare. Its description in RNAcentral is "microRNA MIR1122". It matches the Rfam family "MIR1120/MIR1122 microRNA precursor family". The record is from RNAcentral. Lineage: Eukaryota; Viridiplantae; Streptophyta; Magnoliopsida; Poales; Poaceae.
GUUAUACUUCCUCCGUCUUAAAAUUCUUAUCUAACUUGUAUAUAUAUAAAUGUAUCUAGUUACGUUUUAGUAUUUACAUACAUUCAUAUUUAGAUAAAGUUAAGACAAGAAUUUUAAGACGGAGAGAGUACUAC